GCUCCCAAGGCCGGAAACGCAGGUGGCUCCCGGGGUCCCAGCUGCUGUGAAAUGCUUUAGGUUUGUCUGUGCCUUCCGGAAGAGCCGGGUUAGAGCCCCCGGAGCCGGCGUCGGCGUCGAGGACUGCCCGGGAGAGAGAAGGCGCGUUCUGCGACGCCGAGGUCUGGUGGAUGGGCCAGAGUCACCGAAGAUGGCUGGGAACGCCAGAGGGGAAGUGUCAUACCAGCCAGUUGUUUGCAGUGAUCUACCCAUUUGUAAACCGUUUGCACUGUAUACCCAUUUGAAAUACAAUCCUGUUUGAAGUGUUACUUAUUUAAAAUACUAUUAAGCUAUGAACCAAAGUGAUGCCCUCUUGGCUAAGGAUAUAAGCCAAGCCUCUUGGCCAUGGACCAGUGUAACUCCGCCACAGACCAAUAACUGCUUUUGAGGAUAAGGUGUCCCACCUGGAACAACUGUCUAUCACCGCAUGACGUCAAUGACCAAAUGGGGAGGACAGAGAUCACUUGAUCUUUCAAAUAGAAAGACGUUUAAGCCAUCUCGAAUGGCACAGAAUCCUCCCAGUUUCUGAAAACCGUCAGAGAAUGCCGUCCCUGCCAAUCGCUGGCUUUGUUUCCUGUUUGUGGAUAGCUGCUACUCUCCAUUUCGAACUAACCAGGCUAAGCAAAUCCGUCUUUAAGCAGAUUUCCUCUGCGUUGGUCUCCAGGAGCUGCAGACUAGCUCGUGACCCAGCGUGCAACUUUACGAAUGCGCCGGAGUCCCAAAAACCAGACGAUUCCACUCGACCAGUCAAGCCAGCCAUUUUCCACAUGUGUUCCUGCCCAGGUCUGCGUCUUCAGUGCCGGCUGUGUCUACACUGCAGGGCUGUGCGGUCCGGCCUCGGUGUGCUGGCUGUCUGUAUCUUGCCCUGCUCGCUCACUGCGGGACUCCCACGCACUACUCGUGUGCUUUCUAGCCCACUUUCUGGACGAUGGACAGAAGGUUGUUUUGGACACGUACUCUUCCCAGGCACAGUGGUAGAAGUGUCCAUGCAGUCUGCCCACCCCACUGUAGAGAUGAGACUGAGGCUAGAGAAAGGCUAAAAACAUACUGAAGAGCAGGUGUGUAGGGCGCGGUCAGCAGUGAGGAGCGACCAUGGCCGUCUGACUCCAGUGUCAGCCCCAGCUUAUCGGGAGUAAGCUCCGACCUACGUAGCAGCAGCCUAGGGGCACUGUCAGGAUCCUGAGAAAGCCUGGGCCAGGGCUGGCAGGUUUAAAGAGCAAAAUGCAGGACACCUACUUAAGUGGGAGUUUCACAACAAAUGCUCUUUUUAGCAUAAGUAUGUCUCAUGCAGUAAUUGGUAUAUACUUAUACAAAAAUCAUUGAUUGUUUAUCUGAAAUUCACAUUUGACUGGCCAUCCCGUAUUUUACCUGGGCAGCUUUCUAGAGAAGACACUGUAACUUUUCUACUGACUCAUCAAAAUGAGUUUUGGGUCAAUUGAAACUCUCUCUGCCCUUUGGAGCGGAAUUAGAGUGGUGCAUGGAUUCUGUAAAAUAAUCGAUCCUUAUAACACCCACCUAGAAUUAGACCGUGUUUAUAAAUUAGUUUUACUUGGUCCUGUGCUGGGACAGACUUUCAUCUGAAUAUAUUUUUUUGGCGAUCUUAUGCUUUCUUUCUUUAUAUCACCCAUCCUACUAUUAGCUAUUGCUAAAUUUCACUUUAACAAGAAGUAAAUACAAAGACUAAUUUUAUUUAGCAAGACUGAAGAUAAAACCAACACGUAAAUUCGCAUGAGACCUUUAGUGUUGUCCAAAGCAACUCCUCCAGUUAUCAACCUGAGGCAGUUAGUCAGCAAGAACAUUUGCAGAAUGAUUAGUGGGAGGAGGAUCUCUUCUCAGCCACGGAGGGGGUCACUGAGCCCUGGCGGCUCUUGGGAAGUGGAGCCUGACCUCACUCUCCAGCCUACACCGAAGCAGAAAUGAGAAGGAGCAGAAAUGCCGACACUGAGUGCGUGGCGCUCUCCUCUUUCAGUGAAACAACGAAAACAGCGGCCAGAACCCGACUGGCCAGAAUCAAAGAAAUAGCGUGUAAGGUGACAGACUUAGUGCAGCCACUCCCAGGUCGUGAUGACCCUCAAGCUUAAAUAGAAAAGCCAGGAAACAGGAUUGCGUGCUGCUCCCCAUCUCUUUAGUAGCGGUUAUGGGUUGGGAGGUACACGGGCCCACAGACUCGGCCACGAGGGCGUAUGAGACAUCUUUGGGGGUGAGAAUCAAUACAUUAUUCUCAGUGAGCCAUUCCCUCAACAUGACUAUGGUCCCUCCAGCUCUACAUUAUUUUAGUUACAUAAAAAUGAUGAACAAACGUCAGCUUCCUUGCAAACAUUUUGUCCUUGUUCUUAAAAAAGUGGUUAUAAAGAGUACGGAAUAGGAAUCACUUCUGCAAAGUUUAAUGAGUGAGAAACAUUCAACCAAGGUGACUUCUUGGAAAAUCCUACAAAAACUGAAUUUUAUAAAGUUAUUUUGAUAGAAACCCCACUUGUAAAUGGCAGCCAUUACUUCACUGCCCACAGAAUUGUAGGCCGUCACAUUUGACAUGUUUAGAGUUCAAAAGUUUUGGGAUCAGGUUUUCUAGUGUUAUGAAAACAAAGUCACGCACAGGCAGACUAGUGGUCCCAGGCUAAGGGGACAGCAGCGUCCAUGGUUUCUCUGCUCAGACAGGUACAGACGGCCACUAGACUUGGGCUCAUGGGUUUGACAACAUUCAUGUUUUCUGUUUAAAGAGGAGGUGAUGGGAAUGGAGGGGCAGAUGCGGCGGAGCUUUACUGAGGGGCUUUGCGCUCCAGGGACCGGCUGUCGCAGGGCAUUAGUACCAGAGAGGCCUUC
Molecule: long non-coding RNA, 2859 nt
Organism: Tupaia belangeri chinensis (Chinese tree shrew)
Lineage: Eukaryota; Metazoa; Chordata; Mammalia; Scandentia; Tupaiidae
Exons: 2
Source: RefSeq, a predicted model, not a curated record